RNAcentral lists this ribosomal RNA (407 nucleotides) under Verrucomicrobiota bacterium. RNAcentral's name for it is "Verrucomicrobia bacterium partial 16S ribosomal RNA". It matches the Rfam family "Bacterial small subunit ribosomal RNA", at positions 355 to 776 of the family's 1533-position model. Lineage: Bacteria; Pseudomonadati; Verrucomicrobiota. The record is from RNAcentral.
UGGGGAAUAUUGGACAAUGGAGGGAACUCUGAUCCAGCAAUUCUGUGUGUGUGAAGAAGGUUUUAGGACUGUAAAACACUUUUAGUAGGGAAGAAAAAAAUGACGGUACCUACAGAAGAAGCAACGGCUAAAUACGUGCCAGCAGCCGCGGUAAUACGUAUGUUGCGAGCGUUAUCCGGAAUUAUUGGGCUUAAAGGGCAUCUAGGCGGUAAGACAAGUUGAAGGUGAAAACCUGUGGCUCAACCAUAGGCUUGCCUACAAAACUGUUGAAAUAGAGUACUCGAAAGGUGGGUGGAACUACACGAGUAGAGGUGAAAUUCGUAGAUAUGUGUAGGAAUGCCGAUGAUGAAGAUAACUCACUGGACAGAAACUGACGCUGAAGUGCGAAAGCUAGGGGAGCAAACAGG